CCUACGGGAGGCAGCAGUGAGGAAUAUUGGUCAAUGGCCGGAAGGCUGAACCAGCCAAGCCGCGUGAGGGAGGAAGGCGCAGAGCGUCGCAGACCUCUUUUGCCGGGGGACAAAAGGCCGGACUCGUCCGGUCCUGAGGGUACCCGGAGAAAAAGCAUCGGCUAACUCCGUGCCAGCAGCCGCGGUAAUACGGAGGAUGCGAGCGUUAUCCGGAUUUACUGGGGGGAAAGGGAGCGUAGACCGAAAGGCAAGCCAGAAGUGAAAAGCCAGGGCUCAACCAUGGGACUGCGUUUGAAACUGGCAAACGUGAGUACGCGGGAGGUAAGAGGAAGUCCUGGUGGAGCGGUGAAAUGCGGAGAUAUCAGGAAGAACACCGGUGGCGAAGGCGUCUUACUGGACCGAAACUGACGUUGAGGCUCGAAGGCGUGGGGAGCAAACAGGAUUAGAUACCCUUGUAGUC
This 460-nucleotide ribosomal RNA is filed under the name uncultured bacterium. Its description in RNAcentral is "partial 16S ribosomal RNA". It matches the Rfam family "Bacterial small subunit ribosomal RNA", at positions 338 to 795 of the family's 1533-position model. The record is from RNAcentral.